RNAcentral lists this small RNA (159 nucleotides) under Brevibacillus parabrevis. RNAcentral's name for it is "c-di-AMP sequence". It matches the Rfam family "c-di-AMP riboswitch aptamer (ydaO/yuaA leader)". From Rfam's summary of the family: This family represents a conserved RNA structure found upstream of the ydaO and yuaA genes in Bacillus subtilis and related genes in other bacteria. The ydaO/yuaA element is thought to act as a genetic "off" switch for the ydaO and yuaA genes in its native state. Lineage: Bacteria; Bacillati; Bacillota; Bacilli; Caryophanales; Paenibacillaceae. The record is from RNAcentral.
CAAACCAAUACGCCGAAACUUCCUCACGAAUGGAAGUGCGGGGGAUCUUUUUCGCGGAUCAACAAAAUCCGCUAUGGGGUGAAUCGCUCGAAGGAGCGUAGGGUUGUUUCCUCAACCCGAAUCCGACAACUAACCUCGUAGGCCAAAAAAAGGAGACGA